Molecule: ribosomal RNA, 847 nt
Filed under: uncultured bacterium
Lineage: Bacteria
Description: bacterial SSU rRNA
Rfam family: Bacterial small subunit ribosomal RNA
Source: RNAcentral
UNUGAAGUUAAAGGCUGUGGCUUANCCAUAGUACGCUUUGGAAACUGUUUAACUUGAGUGCAGAAGGGGAGAGUGGAAUUCCAUGUGUAGCGGUGAAAUGCGUAGAUAUAUGGAGGAACACCGGUGGCGAAAGCGGCUCUCUGGUCUGUAACUGACGCUGAGGCUCGAAAGCGUGGGGAGCGAACAGGAUUAGAUACCCUGGUAGUCCACGCCGUAAACGAUGAGUGCUAGGUGUUAGGCCCUUUCCGGGGCUUAGUGCCGCAGCUAACGCAUUAAGCACUCCGCCUGGGGAGUACGACCGCAAGGUUGAAACUCAAAGGAAUUGACGGGGGCCCGCACAAGCGGUGGAGCAUGUGGUUUAAUUCGAAGCAACGCGAAGAACCUUACCAGGUCUUGACAUCCCGAUGCCCGCUCUAGAGAUAGAGUUUUACUUCGGUACAUCGGUGACAGGUGGUGCAUGGUUGUCGUCAGCUCGUGUCGUGAGAUGUGGGGUUAAGUCCCGCAACGAGCGCAACCCUUAUUGUUAGUUGCCAUCAUUCAGUUGGGCACUCUAGCGAGACUGCCGGUAAUAAACCGGAGGAAGGUGGGGAUGACGUCAAAUCAUCAUGCCCCUUAUGACCUGGGCUACACACGUGCUACAAUGGCUGGUACAACGAGUCGCAAGUCGGUGACGGCAAGCUAAUCUCUUAAAGCCAGUCUCAGUUCGGAUUGUAGGCUGCAACUCGCCUACAUGAAGUCGGAAUCGCUAGUAAUCGCGGAUCAGCACGCUGCGGUGAAUACAUUCCCGGGCCUUGUACACACCGCCCGUCACACCACGAGAGUUUGUAACACCCGAAGUCGGUGAGGU